RNAcentral lists this long non-coding RNA (1187 nucleotides) under Homo sapiens (human). RNAcentral's name for it is "HSALNT0402672". Lineage: Eukaryota; Metazoa; Chordata; Mammalia; Primates; Hominidae. The record is from RNAcentral.
CUACAAAAAGAGUGUUUCCAAACUGCUCAAUCAAAAGAAAACUUCAACUCCAUGAGGCCUCAAAGCGCUCCAAAAGUCCACUUGCAGAUUCUACAAAAAGAGUGUUUCCAAACAGCUCAAUCAAAAGAAAUUUUUGACUCUGUGAGAUGAACGCUCUCAUCACAAAGAUGUUUCUCAGAAUUCUUCUGUCUAGUUUUUAUAUGAAGAUACUUCCUUUUCCACGAUGGGCCUCAAUAUGAUCCAAAUAUCCACUUGCAGAUUCUACAAAAGGAGUGUUUCAAAACUCCUCAAUCAAAAGAAAGAUUUAACUCUGUGAGAUGAAUGCAACAUCACAAAGAAGUUUCUCAGAUUGCUUCUGUCUGGAUUUUAUGUGAAGAUAUUUCCUUUUCCACCAUAGGCCUUUAAGAGCUCCAAAUGUCCACUUCCAGAUUCUACGUAAAGAGAGUAGCAAAAUUGCUCAAUCAAGAGAAAGUUUUAACUCUGUGAGAUAAAUGCACACAUCAUAAAAAAAUUUCUCAGUUUGCUUCUGUCUAUAUUUUAUGUGAGGGUAUUCCGUUUUCUACCAUAGGCUGCAAAGCUCCCCAAAUAUCCACUUACAGAUUCUACCAAAAGAGAGUUUCAAAACUACUCUGUCAAAAGAUAGGUUCAAAUCCGUGAGUUGAAUGCACACAUAACAAGGAAGUUUCCCAGAAUGCUUCUGUGUAGUUUUUAUCCGAAGAUAUUUCCUUUUCCAAAAUAGACCACAAAGCCCUUCACAUAUUCACUUCCAGAUUCUACAAAAAAAGUGUUUCAAAACUACUCAGUCAAUAGAAAGGUUCAACUCUGUGUGGUGAAUGCAUUUUUCUCAAAGAAGUUUCCCAGAAUGCUUCUGUGUAGUUUUUAUUUGAAGAUAUUUCAUUUUCCAUCAUAGGGCACAAAAUGCUCCAAGUAUCCACUUGCAGAUUCUACAGAAAGAGAGAUUUAAAAAUGCUGAAUCAAAAGAUAGGGUCAACACUGUGAGUUGAAUGCACACAUAACAAGAAGUUUCACAGAAUGCUUCUGUGCAGUAUUUAUGUGAAGAUAUUUCCUUUUUCAAAAUAGGCCUCAAAUCGCUCCAAAUAUCCACUUGCAGAUUCUACAAAAAGAGUGUUUCCAAACAGCUCAAUCAAAAGAAUGGUUAAAUUCUGUGAGACAAAUGCACACAUCAC